UACGUAGGGUGCGAGCGUUAAUCGGAAUUACUGGGCGUAAAGCGUGCGCAGGCGGUUUUGUAAGUCAGAUGUGAAAGCCCCGGGCUUAACCUGGGAAUGGCAUUUGGGACUGCAAGGCUUGAGUGCGGCAGAGGAGACUGGAAUUCCUGGUGUAGCAGUGAAAUGCGUAGAUAUCAGGAGGAAUACCGAUGGCGAAGGCAGGUCUCUGGGCUGACACUGACGCUCAUGCGCGAAAGCGUGGGGAGCAAAAGGG
RNAcentral lists this ribosomal RNA (253 nucleotides) under uncultured bacterium. RNAcentral's name for it is "partial 16S ribosomal RNA". It matches the Rfam family "Bacterial small subunit ribosomal RNA", at positions 524 to 776 of the family's 1533-position model. The record is from RNAcentral.